AGUAGGGAAUCUUCCACAAUGGACGAAAGUCUGAUGGAGCAACGCCGCGUGAGUGAAGAAGGUUUUCGGAUCGUAAAGCUCUGUUGUUGGUGAAGAAGGAUAGAGGCAGUAACUGGUCUUUAUUUGACGGUAAUCAACCAGAAAGUCACGGCUAACUACGUGCCAGCAGCCGCGGUAAUACGUAGGUGGCAAGCGUUGUCCGGAUUUAUUGGGCGUAAAGCGAGCGCAGGCGGAAUGAUAAGUCUGAUGUGAAAGCCCACGGCUCAACCGUGGAACUGCAUCGGAAACUGUCAUUCUUGAGUGCAGAAGAGGAGAGUGGAACUCCAUGUGUAGCGGUGGAAUGCGUAGAUAUAUGGAAGAACACCAGUGGCGAAGGCGGCUCUCUGGUCUGCAACUGACGCUGAGGCUCGAAAGCAUGGGUAGCGAACAGGAUUAGAUACCCUGGUAGUCCAUGCCGUAAAACGAUGAGCGCUAGGUGUU
RNAcentral lists this ribosomal RNA (480 nucleotides) under uncultured bacterium. RNAcentral's name for it is "bacterial SSU rRNA". It matches the Rfam family "Bacterial small subunit ribosomal RNA", at positions 353 to 824 of the family's 1533-position model. The record is from RNAcentral.